UGGGGAAUAUUGCACAAUGGGGGAAACCCUGAUGCAGCGACGCCGCGUGAGCGAUGAAGGCUUUCGAGUCGUAAAGCUCUGUCCUAUGGGAAGAUAAUGACGGUACCAUAGAAGAAAGCCCCGGCUAAUUACGUGCCAGCAGCCGCGGUAAUACGUAAGGGGCGAGCGUUGUCCGGAAUUAUUGGGCGUAAAGGGUACGUAGGCGGUUUUUUAAGUCAGGUGUCAAAGCGUGGAGCUUAACUCCAUUAAGCACUUGAAACUGAAAGACUUGAGUGAAGGGGAGGAAAGUGGAAUUCCUAGUGUAGCGGUGAAAUGCGUAGAUAUUAGGAGGAAUACCGGUGGCGAAGGCGACUUUCUGGACUUUUACUGACGCUCAGGUACGAAAGCGUGGGGAGCAAACAGG
This 403-nucleotide ribosomal RNA is filed under the name Verrucomicrobiota bacterium. Its description in RNAcentral is "Verrucomicrobia bacterium partial 16S ribosomal RNA". It matches the Rfam family "Bacterial small subunit ribosomal RNA", at positions 355 to 776 of the family's 1533-position model. Lineage: Bacteria; Pseudomonadati; Verrucomicrobiota. The record is from RNAcentral.